Populus nigra (black poplar) is the source of this 517-nucleotide long non-coding RNA. RefSeq lists it as uncharacterized. The transcript has 2 exons. The record is from RefSeq and is a predicted model, not a curated record. NCBI's taxonomy places the organism in Eukaryota, Viridiplantae, Streptophyta, Magnoliopsida, Malpighiales, Salicaceae.
CAAAGUAAAAGAGACAUAAACAUAAUCAUUUCCUUCCUUUUACUUUCCACUUCUGUGUAAACGGGAUAGUGCUUAGGGGGGCCAGUUUUUCUUUUCCUUUCUUUUUAAAAUCUUAUGCCUAAUUGGGUGAGGAAAUUAGUGGAGCAUUAGACUUUUUAAAAGACAACAAAAAGAAGCAAUGUCUGAUCAUCUUUUGAUACGGUGGUCUUCCAUGAUCAGUUUGUUGAUGAAGAUAUCGAAAGAUUCGACUCUCCGUUCUAGCUCAGGUUGGAAGAAAUUCAAAGGAAAGGAUAACCCUUAUCUAGAGCUCCUGUGAUUCUUGCUCCCGAGAGAAUUGGCUCCACUACGGGCAAAUCUACUACCAAAAACCCAAGUUUCAACCAAUCAAAACCUGUAAGUUAUUUGGUGUGAUUCCAAGGAGUGAUUCCUUUGAAUGAUAUCAGGCUCUACUUGUUUCCUAUUCCUUGCAAUUCUUGGAUUCUGCAAUAAAGUUAUCAGAAUUCUUUUCCUCUAUCAA